GUGCCCUACGGGGGCAGCAGUAGGGAAUCUUCCACAAUGGGCGAAAGCCUGAUGGAGCAACGCCGCGUGGGUGAAGAAGGUCUUCGGAUCGUAAAACCCUGUUGUUAGAGAAGAAAGUGCGUGAGAGUAACUGUUCACGUUUCGACGGUAUCUAACCAGAAAGCCACGGCUAACUACGUGCCAGCAGCCGCGGUAAUACGUAGGUGGCAAGCGUUAUCCGGAUUUAUUGGGCGUAAAGAGAACGCAGGCGGUCCUUUAAGUCUGAUGUGAAAGCCUUCGGCUUAACCGGAGUAGGGCAUUGGAAA
This 305-nucleotide ribosomal RNA is filed under the name uncultured bacterium. RNAcentral describes it as "bacterial SSU rRNA". It matches the Rfam family "Bacterial small subunit ribosomal RNA", at positions 334 to 632 of the family's 1533-position model. The record is from RNAcentral.